RNAcentral lists this microRNA precursor (136 nucleotides) under Hordeum vulgare. Its description in RNAcentral is "microRNA MIR1122". It matches the Rfam family "MIR1120/MIR1122 microRNA precursor family". Lineage: Eukaryota; Viridiplantae; Streptophyta; Magnoliopsida; Poales; Poaceae. The record is from RNAcentral.
AGCGUACUCUCUCCGUCCCAGAAUUCUUGUCUUACAUUUGUCUAAAUAUGAAUGUAUCUAGUUAUGUUUUAGUAUUUAGAUAUAAUCAUUUUUAGACAAACCUAAGAUAAGAAUUUUGAAAUGAAGGAAGUAUCAU